AACGAACGCUGGCGGCAUGCCUAACACAUGCAAGUCGAACGAUGCUUUCGGGCAUAGUGGCGCACGGGUGCGUAACGCGUGGGAAUCUGCCCUGGGGUUCGGGAUAACAGCGGGAAACUGCUGCUAAUACCGGAUGAUAUCGCGAGAUCAAAGAUUUAUCGCCCUGGGAUGAGCCCGCGUCGGAUUAGGUAGUUGGUGGGGUAAGAGCCUCCCAAGCCGACGAUCCGUAGCUGGUCUGAGAGGAUGAUCAGCCACACUGGGACUGAGACACGGCCCAGACUCCUACGGGAGGCAGCAGUGGGGAAUAUUGGACAAUGGGCGCAAGCCUGAUCCAGCAAUGCCGCGUGAGUGAUGAAGGCCUUAGGGUUGUAAAGCUCUUUUACCCGGGAUGAUAAUGACAGUACCGGGAGAAUAAGCCCCGGCUAACUCCGUG
Molecule: ribosomal RNA, 433 nt
Filed under: uncultured bacterium
Lineage: Bacteria
Description: partial 16S ribosomal RNA
Rfam family: Bacterial small subunit ribosomal RNA
Source: RNAcentral